Molecule: RNA transcript, 1462 nt
Organism: Helianthus annuus (common sunflower)
Lineage: Eukaryota; Viridiplantae; Streptophyta; Magnoliopsida; Asterales; Asteraceae
Exons: 10
Source: RefSeq, a predicted model, not a curated record
UCGACUAAAACCCUUGCUCCCCUUCCCCUCCCCAUCCCCUUCUACGCAGCCGCUCCCCUUCCCCUUCUACGCAGCCGCUCCCCUUCCCCUCGACGCAGUUGCUCCCCUUCCGGUUCGACGCAGCCUCCUCCAGUUUGCACAGGAUUUCCUUUCGAUUUGCUAGAUGACGGAAGCAUUCCCCUUCAAUUCUCCCUUUGAGACUGAAAUCUUCCCAGCUUGUACCAGUGAGACGCCUUUUCCUCUGGUUCUUGGUGAAGUCAAAGAAGUACCCAAAUCUUGUGAGAUUAGCUAUAGAGAUGAUGGGUUGUUCUUCUAAUGGCCUUAGCAAAGGACUUGAGAAAAUGUGAUCUCUAAUUGGAAAGACAAACAAGUUGUUCGACCAAGGCGCAGUGGUUUGUAGAAGAGGUAACUAGGGUUGUGGGAACUAUCAUAUCAUUGACUCAAGUUCUUCAGAAGAUGAGGGUGAAUCCUCAGAUACAAGGAUGUUCGGAUUGGAAGGCCUUCUGAAAUUAUCGAUGGCGUGACCGAGCCAUUAACUCCUUAUAAGUGUCGGCAAAGUGACAAGACGUAUGCCGCUCCAAUAUUUGUGGACAUCGAGUAUUGGUUUUCCAAGAAUUUGAUUUGAGGCAUUUCCAAGAAUAAUGGUAAAAUGAAAACAUGUAUAUGAGGCACAAGAGGCUGAGAAGUAUUGGUUUUCUUAUAAUUGAAAGAAGGAUGAAGGGCAGUGAUGAACUGGGUUUUGAUAGGAGCUUCAAGGGAGACGGAGGAGGAGGAUGCUGACGUGUCGAAAUCGUUGCCGAAUUCGGCGAUUUUGAACCGAAGUCGCCGCAUCGAGUGCCGCAGCACUGGUCGUCAUCUGCCGUACCGCAACCGUUGCCGCUUCCUAAUGAAGAGUUAUGGUUUCCGGCUGAAGGAUAUGACAGAGGAAAUGCGCGUUGUAGAUCCGAUCGAACGGGAUGAAUUCCAAGAGUCAUGCUGCACGUAUACUAACUGCUGGACUUCCACAGUAUGGUCAACUUGGACAUGGAUCUGACAUGGAGUAUUAUACUAAAGAUAGCUCUGCUAAGCUUGCUUACGAGGCGUAACCUCGUCUUACUGCAAUAGCUUCUUUUCCGACAAAACCAUUGUAAACGUGGUGUGUGGAUCAAAUCAUACAGGAAUAAAAAAGGUGCGGAACUUGCAAUCUCAAGUGGAAAAGGUUAAAUAAACGAUUCGAAGAGGCGCAACAAUCCCAUGUUGAAAUGUUACAAAACCGAGUCGAAGAGAUGGAACGACAAAUGGCCGAGUUUAUGAAAUAAUUUGGUAAUCCUAGCAAUCCUCCACCAUAGUUUAGUUUCUGUUUGUUGUCUUUUGCGGUUGAACUUGUAAUUUGACAACGAUGUCAUAUUUUGUGGGGUUGAACUUGUAGUUGGAAAACCAUAUUGUAUUUUGUGGACGAACUUUAGUUUAUAAUGGUAUCGUA